GACGAACGCUGGCGGCGUGCUUAACACAUGCAAGUCGAACGAUGACGACCGAGCUUGCUCGGUCUGAUUAGUGGCGAACGGGUGAGUAACACGUGAGCAACCUGCCCUUCACUCUGGGAUAACCUCGGGAAAUCGGGGCUAAUACCGGAUAUGAGCUCCUGUCGCAUGGCGGGUGUUGGAAAGUUUUUCGGUGAAGGAUGGGCUCGCGGCCUAUCAGUUUGUUGGUGAGGUAGUGGCUCACCAAGGCGAUGACGGGUAGCCGGCCUGAGAGGGCGACCGGCCACACUGGGACUGAGACACGGCCCAGACUCCUACGGGAGGCAGCAGUGGGGAAUAUUGCACAAUGGGCGAAAGCCUGAUGCAGCGACGCCGUGUGAGGGAUGACGGCCUUCGGGUUGUAAACCUCUUUCAGCAGGGAAGAAGCGAAAGUGACGGUACCUGCAGAAGAAGCGCCGGCUAACUACGUG
Molecule: ribosomal RNA, 467 nt
Filed under: uncultured bacterium
Lineage: Bacteria
Description: partial 16S ribosomal RNA
Rfam family: Bacterial small subunit ribosomal RNA
Source: RNAcentral